This 245-nucleotide ribosomal RNA is filed under the name uncultured bacterium. Its description in RNAcentral is "partial 16S ribosomal RNA". It matches the Rfam family "Bacterial small subunit ribosomal RNA", at positions 524 to 765 of the family's 1533-position model. The record is from RNAcentral.
UACGGAGGGUGCAAACGUUGCUCGGAAUCAUUGGGCGUAAAGCGCACGUAGGCGCCUGAUAAGUCGGGUGUGAAAGCCCUGGGCUCAACCCAGGAAGUGCACUCGAAACUGUCAGGCUUGAAAUAUGGAAGAGGGUCGCGGGAAUUCCCGGUGUAGAGGUGAAAUUCGAUAGAUAUCGGGAGGAACACCAGUGGCGAAGGCGGCGACCUGGGCCCAAUAUUGACGCUGAGGUGCGAAAGCGUGGG